Molecule: transfer RNA, 73 nt
Filed under: Ardenticatenales bacterium
Lineage: Bacteria; Bacillati; Chloroflexota; Ardenticatenia; Ardenticatenales
Also listed under: 1 other name
Description: tRNA-Lys
Rfam family: tRNA
About the family: Transfer RNA (tRNA) molecules are approximately 80 nucleotides in length. Their secondary structure includes four short double-helical elements and three loops (D, anti-codon, and T loops).
Source: RNAcentral
GGCCGUGUAGCUCAACUGGCAGAGCAGCUGACUCUUAAUCAGCGGGUUGUAGGUUCGAGUCCUACCACGGUCA